UGGGGAAUAUUGCACAAUGGGGGAAACCCUGAUGCAGCGACGCCGCGUGAAGGAUGAAGUAUUUCGGUAUGUAAACUUCUAUCAGCAGGGAAGAAAAUGACGGUACCUGACUAAGAAGCCCCGGCUAACUACGUGCCAGCAGCCGCGGUAAUACGUAGGGGGCAAGCGUUAUCCGGAUUUACUGGGUGUAAAGGGAGCGUAGACGGCAUGGCAAGUCUGAAGUGAAAGCCCGGGGCUCAACCCCGGGACUGCUUUGGAAACUGUCAGGCUAGAGUGCUGGAGAGGUAAGUGGAAUUCCUAGUGUAGCGGUGAAAUGCGUAGAUAUUAGGAGGAACACCAGUGGCGAAGGCGGCUUACUGGACAGUGACUGACGUUGAGGCUCGAAAGCGUGGGGAGCAAACAGGAUUAGAUACCC
Molecule: ribosomal RNA, 415 nt
Filed under: uncultured bacterium
Lineage: Bacteria
Description: bacterial SSU rRNA
Rfam family: Bacterial small subunit ribosomal RNA
Source: RNAcentral